RNAcentral lists this signal recognition particle RNA (299 nucleotides) under Aotus nancymaae (Ma's night monkey). RNAcentral's name for it is "Metazoan signal recognition particle RNA (ENSANAG00000006074.1)". It matches the Rfam family "Metazoan signal recognition particle RNA". From Rfam's summary of the family: The signal recognition particle (SRP) is a universally conserved ribonucleoprotein. Lineage: Eukaryota; Metazoa; Chordata; Mammalia; Primates; Aotidae. The record is from RNAcentral.
GCCAGGCGUGGUGGGGUGUGCCUGUAGUCCCAGCUUCUCAGGAGGCUGAGGUGGGAGGAUCGCUUGAGCCCAGGAGUUCUGGGCUGUAGUGCGCUAUGCCGAUCGGGUGUCCACACUAAGUUUGGCAUCAAUAUGGUGACCUCCCAGGAGCAGGAGACCACCACGUUGCCUAAGAAGGGGUGAACCGGCCCAGGUAGGAAACAGAGCAGGUCAAAACUCCUGUCCUGAUCAGUAGUGGGAUCACACCUGUGAAUAGCCACUGCACUCCAGCCUGGGCAACAUAGCGAGACCCCAUCUCU